This is a long non-coding RNA of Mesocricetus auratus (golden hamster), 1403 nucleotides long. RefSeq lists it as uncharacterized. The transcript is spliced from 2 exons. The record is from RefSeq and is a predicted model, not a curated record. NCBI's taxonomy places the organism in Eukaryota, Metazoa, Chordata, Mammalia, Rodentia, Cricetidae.
CUGCCACCCAGAUAAGAAGCACGGUGCUAAGGCCCACAGGUUGCACAACCAACCACUUUGUUGUCAACCUAGGGAAGAGACAUGACUUUCCCGCCACUAUGGUCAGAAACGGAUUUCAUUUCUGCCUCAUCUCCUCCUCUCCCUAUCCUAUUUUUAGUGCUCAGAUCCUGAGGCUUGGCCAAAGACGUAGAAGCCCCAGGCUGAAUAAAAUCUUGGGGACCAGAACGCCAUCAAAUACACGUGUACAAAGUGGCGCUGAACUCCUACUUCUCCAGGCUGUCACACACCCCAGCUGAGAGCCAUGGGUGAGGCCCCAGUGUCUCUGUCUGAUUUGGAGUUUUCCACUUCACCUAUGUCCUCUCUGAGAAAGCUGUACUUCCUAGACGGUGCUCGGCUGGGAGGCUGGUGGCCUCAGGGCUUCACCCUUACCCAUCCUGGUGGGGACAGCCUCUCAGAUGUGCUGCUGUUGCUGAAUUUGAACAGGUGUGGCCCAGGGCGGAACUCUCAGGAUGACCUCUUUGGCUCUGCUAUGCAUGUCUAAUUCCCAGACCCCCUCAACUGAUCAUCUCUCUGUCUUACCACCCAUCUCUUCUUUCCUCCCAGUCACCACCAGUUGCUUAUCAAUAAUUCGAAACUGUCUUUUGUGACAGAGAAAACUGUCCUUUGGGUCAGCAGUUUAAUUUGAAGUGAAUGACGCCAAGAACUAAAACCGAGACACAAACCAAGCAAGAGAGUGAGUGUUGAUAAUGGAGGAGUUCACUGGUGACUCGUAUGAGAUUCCUGGAGACCCAUCCCCACUAUGGAGCUGUGAAGAAAACAAAUACCUCUCACUGUCCCGUCCCCUGCUCUUUGCUCCCUCCUGCUUGGCUUUUCCAUUCCACACCAAGGCUCUCAGUGCACCAAGGGCACUGACUGGAGCGUUCCCAAGGAGGCCUAUUUGAGCCAUCGUAGUACCUUGUCAAGAUCAAGUAGAUGAGCAUUUGUUGACUAAGAGGAUCGUCCAAUGGCAUGGAAGCAGGAGUCAAGGACAAUCUCCAUUUCUAAUUAACUAAGGCACAAUGAAGAGGUGCGGACAGACAGGUAAGGAAUCCAAGCCUCAGUUCCCCAGCAUUCCAGCGUGAACUGCGGAGUUGUCUGCACUUAGGGACAGGACUGGAAGGAGGAUGGUGUCCAAGACUGAAAUGGGGAAGUGAUGAAAACUGUUGGGUGUCAGAGGAGGGGGAAGAGCGAGAGAGAGUGCUCGAGAGACUGGGAGGAGAGGGUUCAACACUAGCAAGACCAGAUGGAUUACUUUAGGGGAUUAAAGGGGGUCACUGAGAAGGGAUGGCAUAUGGUCCUGGGAAGCAGAGGUGGAGGACUGGGAACUUGGAAGGGAACAGGAAAUAAACAUCUCAUACAGAUGA